UGCUGGCAAAACAAAGCUGGACUUUACAAGCAACAACGCUCCUCCUCAAUGUAUUAAAAUAAUUUUAAAUAAGUGGAAAAGCUUGACGGACGUAAGUUGGCAGCACAGACUUGUUGUGUCUGAAGUCAGCAGGUCAGUUCAGCAAAUUAAAAACCGCUGGGAAGCAACGAGUGGUUUCUACAAGGAGAAGCUUAAAACCAGCAGAAGCUGCACGGCUCCAACUAGCUUCACUUAUUAUAAAUAAAUGGAGAAAUAAUCAUAGGACAACCGCUCUCCAAGGAGGACACUGGAGUAGAAGUCGAUUUUCCACCGGAGUAAAGUUCACCUGAGACACUGGAAAGCCUGGAGAUGAUUUAAACAGCACGUCGGAGGAGAUUGAUGACAGCAGCUCUCCACAACCUGAAGAAGACACAGAGGAGGGUCCAGACAAAAAAGGUGAAGCUGCCAAUGAUGACAUGGACCCUCAGUGAUUCCUGGGAUUUUUCUCCACCGCUCGCUGUUGCCGCUAGAUCCUUCUGUCUGUCCAUCAGCCAUCCAUGUGCUCCUCUAUGAUCCUUCAAGGGCUGGGACAUGUGAGAUGUAUGUGGAUGCUGUGGAGGUCCAGAGUGUGCUGCUGGCUCAUGGAGGUGUUGUGUGGACGGGGUCUGGGGAGUUAUCUUUCUGUGACUGAUCUGGUGUUGAUUGCUGACUCACCAAUUGUGGUCCAUUUGCUGAGACUCUCUUUGCCACUUGGAUGUCUUAUGAGCCCUUCGAUCGUUGUGACCACUGGACUCUAUCGACGCCUAUAGUUGCUUAGCUGUCUCUGUAUGUUUGACAAUUCUUUGUUGUGCUUUGUUACCCUGCACGUUAGUGAAGAUGGGUAUUUUAAUUAGUUGUGUGUGUGUGUGUCUCCGUUGCAAGCAGAGGUCACCUGCACAUUGUCUGAGAAUAAAGACUAUUUUGCUCA
Long non-coding RNA from Thalassophryne amazonica, 946 nucleotides. RefSeq lists it as uncharacterized. The record is from RefSeq and is a predicted model, not a curated record. NCBI's taxonomy places the organism in Eukaryota, Metazoa, Chordata, Actinopteri, Batrachoidiformes, Batrachoididae. The transcript is spliced from 3 exons.